CUUACACAUGCAGUCGAGCGGUAACACAAGGGAGCUUGCUCCNUGAGGUGACGAGCGGCGGACGGGUGAGUAAUGCCUAGGGAUCUGCCCAGUCGAGGGGGAUAACAGUUGGAAACGACUGCUAAUACCGCAUACGCCCUACGGGGGAAAGGAGGGGACCUUCGGGCCUUCCGCGAUUGGAUGAACCUAGGUGGGAUUAGCUAGUUGGUGAGGUAAUGGCUCACCAAGGCGACGAUCCCUAGCUGUUCUGAGAGGAUGAUCAGCCACACUGGGACUGAGACACGGCCCAGACUCCUACGGGAGGCAGCAGUGGGGAAUAUUGCACAAUGGGGGAAACCCUGAUGCAGCCAUGCCGCGUGUGUGAAGAAGGCCUUCGGGUUGUAAAGCACUUUCAGUAGGGAGGAAAGGUGAUGUGUUAAUAGCACAUUGCUGUGACGUUACCUACAGAAGAAGGACCGGCUAACUCCGUGCCAGCAGCCGCGGUAAUACGGAGGGUCCGAGCGUUAAUCGGAAUUACUGGGCGUAAAGCGUGCGCAGCGGGUUUGUUAAGCCAGAUGUGAAAUCCCCGGGCUCAACCUGGGAAUUGCAUUUGGAACUGGCGAACUAGAGUCUUGUAGAGGGGGGUAGAAUUCCAGGUGUAGCGGUGAAAUGCGUAGAUAUCUGGAGGAAUACCGGUGGCGAA
This 682-nucleotide ribosomal RNA is filed under the name bacterium ocnta209lb798offnp11.20. Its description in RNAcentral is "bacterial SSU rRNA". It matches the Rfam family "Bacterial small subunit ribosomal RNA", at positions 48 to 719 of the family's 1533-position model. The record is from RNAcentral.